RNAcentral lists this unclassified non-coding RNA (400 nucleotides) under uncultured fungus. RNAcentral describes it as "sequence contains ITS1". The record is from RNAcentral. Lineage: Eukaryota; Fungi.
CCGUCAAUUCCUUUGAGUUUUAAUCUUGCGACCGUACUCCCCAGGCGGUCUACUUCACGCGUUAGCUGCGUUACCAAGUCAAUUAAGACCCGACAACUAGUAGACAUCGUUUAGGGCGUGGACUACCAGGGUAUCUAAUCCUGUUUGCUCCCCACGCUUUCGUGCAUGAGCGUCAGUCUUGACCCAGGGGGCUGCCUUCGCCAUCGGUGUUCCUCCACAUAUCUACGCAUUUCACUGCUACACGUGGAAUUCUACCCCCCUCUGCCAAACUCUAGCCAUGCAGUCACAAAUGCAGUUCCCAGGUUAAGCCCGGGCAUUUCACAUCUGUCUUACAUAACCGCCUGCGCACGCUUUACGCCCAGUAAUUCCGAUUAACGCUUGCACCCUACGUAUUACCGCG